UGGGGAAUCUUGGGCAAUGGGCGAAAGCCUGACCCAGCCACGCCGCGUGGAGGAAGACACCCCUAUGGGGCGUAAACUCCUUUUGUGUGAGAAGAAAUCUCCUUUUGGGAGGCUGACGGUAUCACACGAAUAAGCACCGGCUAACUCCGUGCCAGCAGCCGCGGUAAUACGGAGGGUGCAAGCGUUGUCCGGAUUUAUUGGGUUUAAAGGGUACGUAGGCGGGCUGUUAAGUCUGAGGUGAAAGCUCCUGGCUCAACCAGGAAAUUGCCUUGGAUACUGGCAGUCUUGAGUACAGUAGAGGUGGGCGGAAUUCAUGGUGUAGCGGUGAAAUGCAUAGAUACCAUGAGGAACACCGAUAGGGAAGCCAGCUCACUGGACUGUUACUGACGCUGAGGUACGAAAGCGUGGGGAGCGAACAGGAGUAGAUACCCGCGUAGUCC
This 440-nucleotide ribosomal RNA is filed under the name uncultured prokaryote. RNAcentral describes it as "bacterial SSU rRNA". It matches the Rfam family "Bacterial small subunit ribosomal RNA", at positions 355 to 796 of the family's 1533-position model. The record is from RNAcentral.